RNAcentral lists this ribosomal RNA (346 nucleotides) under uncultured eukaryote. RNAcentral describes it as "SSU rRNA". It matches the Rfam family "Eukaryotic small subunit ribosomal RNA", at positions 594 to 945 of the family's 1831-position model. The record is from RNAcentral.
AUAGCGUAUAUUAAAGUUGUUGCAGUUAAAAAGCUCGUAGUUGAACUUCAGACCUGGCUGGACGGUCUGCCUAACGGUAUGUACUGUCUGGCUGGGCCUUACUUCUUGGUGAGCUGGUGUGCCCUUUAUUGGGUGCGUUGGUGAACCAGGACCUUUACCUUGAGAAAAUUAGAGUGUUCAAAGCAGGCCUAUGCCCGAAUACAUUAGCAUGGAAUAAUAAAAUAGGACGUGCGGCUCUAUUUUGUUGGUUUCUAGAGUCGCCGUAAUGAUUAAUAGGGAUAGUUGGGGGCAUUGGUAUUGAGUCGCUAGAGGUGAAAUUCUUGGAUUGACUCAAGACCAACUAUUG